RNAcentral lists this transfer RNA (90 nucleotides) under Actinomycetota bacterium. RNAcentral describes it as "tRNA-Ser". It matches the Rfam family "tRNA". Rfam says of the family: Transfer RNA (tRNA) molecules are approximately 80 nucleotides in length. Lineage: Bacteria; Bacillati; Actinomycetota. The record is from RNAcentral.
GGAGGCGUGCCGGAGCGGACGAACGGGACCGCCUCGAAAGCGGUUAGGGCUUCACGGCUCUCACAGGUUCAAAUCCUGUCGCCUCCGCCA